RNAcentral lists this transfer RNA (78 nucleotides) under Planctomycetaceae bacterium. Its description in RNAcentral is "tRNA-Glu". It matches the Rfam family "tRNA". From Rfam's summary of the family: Transfer RNA (tRNA) molecules are approximately 80 nucleotides in length. Their secondary structure includes four short double-helical elements and three loops (D, anti-codon, and T loops). Further hydrogen bonds mediate the characteristic L-shaped molecular structure. tRNAs have two regions of fundamental functional importance: the anti-codon, which is responsible for specific mRNA codon recognition, and the 3' end, to which the tRNAs corresponding amino acid is attached (by aminoacyl-tRNA synthetases). tRNAs cope with the degeneracy of the genetic code in two manners: having more than one tRNA (with a specific anti-codon) for a particular amino acid; and 'wobble' base-pairing, i.e. permitting non-standard base-pairing at the 3rd anti-codon position. RNAcentral also lists the same sequence under 1 other name. Lineage: Bacteria; Pseudomonadati; Planctomycetota; Planctomycetia; Planctomycetales; Planctomycetaceae. The record is from RNAcentral.
GGCCCCGUCGUCUAGCCCGGCCCAGGACAUCACCCUUUCAAGGUGCAGACACGGGUUCGAAUCCCGUCGGGGCUACCA